GUUUGGCUUCGGCAGCUCAGGGUUUACAGUGCGGUUGCGUUGGCAGAGUUGGGCAGGUUAAUUUGGCUAUUCGUUUCUGCGGGCGACAGUCGGCAUAGAAGCGAGAAUUCCGCUCCGCUUCUCAUUUCAAACAUCGGAUACCAUGGAUUUGCACCGUGGAAGCGUCUUCUACUGGCAGCGGCGUGUCGAGCUAUGCGCGGAGUAUGCUUACUACUGAAAAGGCUACUACAUUUCAUUCCCUGGGGAUUAACCUUUGAGAAUAAAUAACUGUGGACUGAAUUGUCAUUUAUUAAAGGAUUGUUUAUUUGUGA
Long non-coding RNA from Paramormyrops kingsleyae, 311 nucleotides. RefSeq lists it as uncharacterized. NCBI's taxonomy places the organism in Eukaryota, Metazoa, Chordata, Actinopteri, Osteoglossiformes, Mormyridae. The record is from RefSeq and is a predicted model, not a curated record.